GCCGACCUGAGAGGGUGAUCGGCCACACUGGGACUGAGACACGGCCCAGACUCCUACGGGAGGCAGCAGUAGGGAAUCUUCCGCAAUGGACGAAAGUCUGACGGAGCAACGCCGCGUGUAUGAAGAAGGUUUUCGGAUCGUAAAGUACUGUUGUUAGAGAAGAACAAGGAUAAGAGUAACUGCUUGUCCCUUGACGGUAUCUAACCAGAAAGCCACGGCUAACUACGUGCCAGCAGCCGCGGUAAUACGUAGGUGGCAAGCGUUGUCCGGAUUUAUUGGGCGUAAAGCGCGCGCAGGCGGUCUUUUAAGUCUGAUGUGAAAGCCCCCGGCUUAACCGGGGAGGGUCAUUGGAAACUGGAAGACUGGAGUGCAGAAGAGGAGAGUGGAAUUCCACGUGUAGCG
Molecule: ribosomal RNA, 402 nt
Filed under: Listeria monocytogenes
Lineage: Bacteria; Bacillati; Bacillota; Bacilli; Caryophanales; Listeriaceae
Description: bacterial SSU rRNA
Rfam family: Bacterial small subunit ribosomal RNA
Source: RNAcentral